GAUGAACGCUGGCGGCGUGCCUAAUACAUGCAAGUCGAGCGAACGGACGAGAAGCUUGCUUCUCUGAUGUUAGCGGCGGACGGGUGAGUAACACGUGGAUAACCUACCUAUAAGACUGGGAUAACUUCGGGAAACCGGAGCUAAUACCGGAUAAUAUUUUGAACCGCAUGGUUCAAAAGUGAAAGACGGUCUUGCUGUCACUUAUAGAUGGAUCCGCGCUGCAUUAGCUAGUUGGUAAGGUAACGGCUUACCAAGGCAACGAUGCAUAGCCGACCUGAGAGGGUGAUCGGCCACACUGGAACUGAGACACGGUCCAGACUCCUACGGGAGGCAGCAGUAGGGAAUCUUCCGCAAUGGGCGAAAGCCUGACGGAGCAACGCGGCGUGAGUGAUGAAGGUCUUCGGAUCGUAAAACUCUGUUAUUAGGGAAGAACAUAUGUGUAAGUAACUGUGCAAAUCUUGACGGUACCUAAGCAGAAAGCCACGGCUAACUACGG
Molecule: ribosomal RNA, 496 nt
Filed under: uncultured bacterium
Lineage: Bacteria
Description: partial 16S ribosomal RNA
Rfam family: Bacterial small subunit ribosomal RNA
Source: RNAcentral